This 376-nucleotide ribosomal RNA is filed under the name uncultured bacterium. RNAcentral describes it as "bacterial SSU rRNA". It matches the Rfam family "Bacterial small subunit ribosomal RNA", at positions 524 to 898 of the family's 1533-position model. The record is from RNAcentral.
UACGUAGGGGGCAAGCGUUGUCCGGAAUUAUUGGGCGUAAAGGGUGCGUAGGCGGCCUUUUAAGUCAGAUGUGAAAGACCACGGCUCAACCGUGGGGUUGCAUUUGAAACUGGAGGGCUUGAGUAUCGGAGAGGGUAGUGGAAUUCCCAGUGUAGCGGUGGAAUGCGUAGAUAUUGGGAGGAACACCAGUGGCGAAGGCGACUACCUGGACGAAAACUGACGCUGAGGCACGAAAGCUAGGGGAGCAAACAGGAUUAGAUACCCUGGUAGUCCUAGCCGUAAACGAUGGGUACUAGGUGUAGGAGGUUUCGAUACCUUCUGUGCCGCAGUUAACGCAAUAAGUACCCCGCCUGGGGAGUACGUGCGCAAGCAUGAA